UGUUUGGUUAGUCCCGUAACGAGCGCAACCCUUGUCCCUAUUUGCCAGCGAUUCGGUCGGGAACUCUAGGGAGACUGCCGGUGACAAACCGGAGGAAGGUGGGGACGACGUCAAGUCAUCAUGGCCCUUACGGGUAGGGCUACACACGUGCUACAAUGGUCAGUACAAAGGGUUGCGAACUUGCGAGAGUGAGCCAAUCCCAGAAAGCUGAUCUCAGUCCGGAUCGGAGUCUGCAACUCGACUCCGUGAAGUCGGAAUCGCUAGUAAUCGUGAAUCAAAAUGUCACGGUGAAUACGUUCCCGGGCCUUGUGCACACCGCGCCCCUCACCCUGGGAGAGGGGAGGGCCCCAAAAGGUGAUAGCCAACCUCUCGGGAGGGAGAACCCACGGGUGGGGGUUCUCGACUGGGGGGAAAGCCCUACAAAGGAGCCGUAUGUGAACCUGCGGGUGGAUCAC
RNAcentral lists this ribosomal RNA (455 nucleotides) under uncultured bacterium. Its description in RNAcentral is "bacterial SSU rRNA". It matches the Rfam family "Bacterial small subunit ribosomal RNA", at positions 1073 to 1526 of the family's 1533-position model. The record is from RNAcentral.